GGCAGAUGAUGUCCUUUACUCACAAUGGUCUGCAAGUGCCACCGGGCGCUGCUGAUAAUGCCACAGGCUCAGCUGAUGCCAGGAG
Small nucleolar RNA from Nannospalax galili (Upper Galilee mountains blind mole rat), 85 nucleotides. The record is from Ensembl. Lineage: Eukaryota; Metazoa; Chordata; Mammalia; Rodentia; Spalacidae.